This is an RNA transcript of Colius striatus (speckled mousebird), 3389 nucleotides long. It is a transcript of the gene named rho GTPase-activating protein 29-like, with no coding region annotated. NCBI's taxonomy places the organism in Eukaryota, Metazoa, Chordata, Aves, Coliiformes, Coliidae. The transcript is spliced from 7 exons. The record is from RefSeq and is a predicted model, not a curated record.
CAGCCGCCAGCCCGCGCGCGCCGCCCUGCUCAUGCUGCCGCCGCCGCCGCUCCGUGCCACCGCUGCCCCGCCGCCACCACCGGCCCGGCACGGCGCCGCCCGCUCGCUGGCCAAUGGCAGGGAAGGUCGCGGGGGAGCCUCUCUCUCCUAUAGGCGUGCCAGCCCGCCAAUGAGAGCCCGCAGCCAGUAGAUAAAGAGACGGAACCGCUCGUCCCACCCAGCGCUGCUGAGGCCAUCUCGCUGCGCCGCUGCCCUGGGAGGCGGAGCCGGCCAGCAACGUCAGCGGGCCGAUCCCCGCCCGAGCCGCGACGCGAUUGGUCAGGCGUCCUCGGGUCACGUCACUGGCGUGCGGCUCUUUCCGCUUCCGGGCGGUGGCGUUGGGGCCUAGGCUGUCUGGGCUCGGCGCGGUUCGGUCCUGCCCGCCCCGCCCCAUCGCUCCCCGGCCAGCGCCGGACCAAGGACGCGCCGCUUCGGCUGCCCUGCGAAAUACCGCGGCUGCGGGCCCCCGGGGCGGGCUUUGGGAUGGAUCCCGCCGGCCGCUCUCGGGCGCGGGCUGCGGCAGAGCCGCGUGGGGCUGGAGGCCGAGCCGGCAGGCAAGGUAGUGUUUAAAGGUCGAGUGAAACGGAGCUGAGAAGGGACGGGCGGCUCUGGGGCAUCGGCUGCCGGUGCAGAGUGGAACUGCGGCGGGGAAGCGUGUUGGCAUGUGCGAGCUGCAGCAGUGGAAGCCGUGCUCCGAAGAAUCACGCCUGUCGUCACGGUAGGGCCGGCGGUGGAGGCGUUGCGUGGGCAGCGGCCAGAGUGCUGGAUGGGUCUGUCGUCUCUGUAGCUUUGGCUGUGUCUAAUGACUGAUUUGACAGCACUCACUUGCUCGGUUUUGGUUGGUUUUUAACGAGAUGAAGCAGGCGGUUUGUGUCACAAAGGAGCUAGCACUUCUUGUCAUGCUUUGCUUUAGUGACAGGAGAGGAGAGCCGAGUAGCCGACAGCUUUGUGCAGCUCGUCAGUGGGCUAGCUGCUGGGGGUGGCAACCAGAUGAAGAAAGGGAGGCAAGACUGCGCUCACUGGCCGAGUAUGCCGAAGGGUUGGUUCACUUGGUCCUGGAAGACUGCCGAACGGCCCAGCGUCAACCAGCAAAGCGCUGUUUGGAACUUGCCCUGCAACCAACUUGGCAUGAGCUCCUGGGCAGAUGCUGCAUUCUUCUCAAGACCUUGGAGCAGAGGAUGGAGGUCUACAGCAGCCAGGUCCAGCCUGUAAUGAUUCAAAUCAUCUGUUCGAAGGAAUUAUUAAUGGGAUUCCCAUCAGACUCCUGACAUUUUGCUGAUGUUCCUGUUAGAAGACCCAUUACCUUAUUUUGAAAAUGCUUUUCAGUGGCUUGUGGAAACGGAUUUGAUUGGCAACUUUGAUAGCUGCUGUUACUGACAGAUUGCUGUGUCCUGCUGCACAGUUCUAAAACAUGAGAAUCCAUCCCCUAAUUCAACAGGAGAUACUAGAAUGACUGUAACAGAGAAAUGCUCUCCAGGUGCCAAGGAUCCGACAUGGGAGGCUGCCAGUUCUGCAGGGCCUUUCAGAAGCGCAGCUGCGUCCAAAGCAACACGGACACACCAGCUGCGGAAGCUGAGAGCUCCAGCUAAAUGCACAGUGUGUGGCCGCUUUGUGGUCCUUCAUGGAGCUGAGUGUGAGAAGGUGAGCCUGAAAGCACUUGAAAUUGCUACUUGGGAUUGAUGCAGAGUUGGGAGGUUUGGAUGCUUGCAUUAUGUUUCCGUAUAAGAAGUACAGACAUUGUGGCUUACAGAAUGCUCCUGGACUCAAAGCAAAAGCAUCCCGGACUAAGAAGUCUUUCCUUUUGCUAACACAGGGGGUGACAGAUGGCAGAGGCAUCUCUUAUGGUGUCACAUUAUAUCAAACCACGUUCUUUUUGUCCUCUGCAGUCUUCACUUGUGUGCCAUAAGAAAUGUUUAGCAGCUUUAGCUAUUCAGUGUGUGCACAAGAAACUUGGUGGAAGGCUUCGUUUGUUUGGAGUGGAACUUGCCCAAGCCGCUCAAAAUGUUCCUGAUGGCAUUCCUUUCAUCAUCAGAGCGUGCGCAUCAAAAACUGAAAGCAGAGUGCUGGAUGUGGAGGCCAUCCGUCGCGUAUGCGGAGCCAAAUCGAGAGUUGAAAAGCUUUGUUGGCAUUUUGAAAAGGGAAGGGAUUUGGUCGAGCUCUCAGAAGGCUCUGCACAUGACAUCAGCGGUGUUCUCAAGGCCUAUCUCCACCAGAAUUUCUGAGGCCAUCAGUUACACCAUGGAAUUGUUGCCCAGGGCUGGACAGAAACAGACAUUACAAUUGAUAUAAUAAUAAACAUAUCUUUAAAUAACCGUCAGUUUCAUAGGCACGGGGCCGGUGUCUGAGCUACUGUCUUCUGUGAUCAAGGGAGGAGUUACACAGGGUACACACACCAGCGUAUCCUGUGGGUCUACCUACGCAGCCACGGAUAGGACACGAGAAAGUGUGACAGAAAGCUCACUUUGUCCCUAUAGGAACAGGUAGGUGAGUUACAAGCAAAAGCAGAAAUAAAAGGGGAUUCAUCAUGGAAGAAUGCUGCUCGGGAGCCACUCAUGCAACAGCACUUGUAAUGACUGCUUAGGGUCCAGAGGAUUGGGUUUCAGCUGGAUUUGGUUCAGUAUCGGGGUUACAGCUCUAUUAGGAAAGGCACCAGCGAGAGGAGCGUAUGUAAGAGCAGAACCAGCAGAGGGGCGCUCUUUCUUUUUUCUCUUCCCCCACCAGACCGGACAGAGCAUCGGAGCUUUCCUACGAGCGACUGCCAGGGGUGCCCUGGACUCGUGGCGCUGCUAAAUGAGCGUUACCAAGUGAACAAAUGUUUAAAACUACAGACUUUCAUGGCAACCAUAUGGUCAGUCUGUAGAAGAAUCAAGGUGAAAAACAAAUGCAUCUACUGAGCCUCAGAUACUUCUCCCAACUAACUCUUUCUUCCCUAAUCUAAGAAGUCGUAAGUAGUGAUGGACCACGAGGCAUUUUUGCAGAGACAGCCACCAGCAAGGGGAAGAGAAAGAUAACCGAGCGAUGAUAACAAAAGGAGUGCCUGUGCCGAAGCGAGCAGAAUCCAGGAGUUCAUCCAGCAGAUAACUGAGGAAGACCAUCAGAAGGACCCCCUAGAGGAAGCAAGUGACCACCGCAGCGACUGCAAAAAUGUGAAAUAGACACAAUUCCUGUGAAGUGAUGAACUGUAAAGAUGUUUAAAUAGGCACGUUUAUAGCAAAUAACCCCUUGAAAACUGUCGAACGUUCACGUUUUGACAUAUAAAAGAAGCAUAGUUCAGUCUUUCCACACGCACGUUUGGCGGAAGGAUCCUCCGAGCAUCCGGCUCCACAUUAAAGAAUACCUGCUUCAUAACA